This 67-nucleotide transfer RNA is filed under the name Marmota monax (woodchuck). Its description in RNAcentral is "tRNA.Ala". Lineage: Eukaryota; Metazoa; Chordata; Mammalia; Rodentia; Sciuridae. The record is from RNAcentral.
GGUUGUGGAUCAGUGGUAGAGCGCUUGCCUAGCAUGUGUGAAGCACUGGGUUCAAUUCUCAGCACCA